This is a non-coding RNA of Peromyscus maniculatus bairdii (prairie deer mouse), 386 nucleotides long. NCBI's taxonomy places the organism in Eukaryota, Metazoa, Chordata, Mammalia, Rodentia, Cricetidae. The record is from RefSeq and is a predicted model, not a curated record.
GGCAGCAAGCAUGGAAACAAAGAGGUCUUGUGAAGGCUGAGGAUUAUGAUCCAGACAGAUGGAAAAAUGUUCUUGACAGAAUCCCUUUUAAUACCUUUCAAAUUAGACAAAAUAAGCUUGUUUAUCAAAACUAUUUGUAGAAUUGUUUUGACUAACUUGAAACACGUUUUUAAACAGUCACAGAGGCUCUCUGACUGGCAUGGAGGAAAAGAGGACAAGAGCGGAGGAUGGAAGAAGAGAGUCCGUGUCCCAGGAUUGCACUCCGAAUGAGACAGAGAUUUUGAAGAGAUGACGUGAGAUCAGUUGCCUCCAUCCCUUCCCACCCUGCCUCCUGCACCACAACGAAGUGUAAAAUCUUGAACUGUGUACCUAAAUAUAGCCCACCU